AUGGAUGGCAAUGAUAAACAUAAUCUCAGAUUUAAUUUGCUCAGUGAAAAUAAAGAUGUUUCUUAACGAUGGAUUCAAAUUCUUACUUGCACCUCCAACCAAAAUUAUUUUGCUCAUAAAUAAUCAACAAACUACAUCAUCAGAUUUAAUCUUCUUAUUGCUAGAUGCAUCAUAAUCGUUCCAGUUUCUAAUCAAUCUUCUUGUCAUAGUCAUUCCUGCACUUGCACUUACAACAGACGAAACACGUGUUCUUGGUGAUCAUACAAGCCUUGUAAUAAAAAAAUAGUAAUCAAACACGAGAAUUAACAAGAUUCACAAGUGAAAACAAAUACAAAUUUUUUUUGAGCAUAUACAUGACUUUUUCCUAUGUCAUUUCUUCUUGUAAUCAGAAGCAAAAUACCAAGUUUAGACAAACCCUAAAAACUCCAAACACUUGAACAAACAUUAUAUUAUUUUUCCAACUAUCACAGAUAAUCAUAAUCAACAAAGCUUUAAUAAUUAUAUGAUCACAGGACAUCAUUAUUUUAAUCCUCAAUGCUCAAAAAAUUAAGAAUCACAAUCAAAUUUUGGUUAUUACCCUAAGUUGAUUGCUUAGAAUUACUAGUAAUAACUUUAAAAGCAAAUCCAAACAGCCCUAAAUUGAUAAGUUUAGGGAAAAACAUGAGAGCAACAUUUUUUAGAAAAAAUCUAAAAACAUGUAUGCCAAUUUAGAAUUUUGGUUGAAAGCAAAUUUGAUGUACAAAAACCACAUAUAUACAAUAAAUAAAUGCCAUAACUUUACUUAUAAUAGAAAAACAUGUAUAGAAGAAGAAAACUACUUACAAAGAGGCCGAUGAGGAGUGGUGGUCUCAAAGAAACGCAUCUAAUUCCAAAUGUAGAAACUGCAAAAAAAAAAAUCAUCAAAAUUAAUGAUAUAGGACAGAAAUCAAGAGUUUGAAGGAUAGAAAAUAUAAGGUACUUGCAAUGAUAAGCCUUCCACCAGUAGAUGACAAGUAGAUGACAACUGCAACUCAUAUUCUGAUCUAUUACCAAAAGGGCAUUUACGUCUUUUUGCAUAGUAAUGAAGUAAUAUAAAGUAAUGAGUACUGACCUUGACUUGCUUAAUGAAAGAAACAGCAUUCAACAUUCCACUUCUUGAUAAUCAGACCAAAUUAAAGCGUUAUAAGAAGAGAUUUAGGGAUUUAAAACAUAAUAGGAAGAUAUAAAUCAUAAUUAGAAGAGAUAUAUCUCUGCAUCUACAGUAUUGACACUUCCCUUAUGCAUGAUUUAGAUCUUUAGCAAGCUCAUAUGUAAUCAAUACCAAUCGAAUGUAGUGAUUGCAUGUAAUCAAACCUGAAAACAAAAAGAAAUUCCUCAACAUUUUUAUAUCCCCUUCUUAAUUACAAUUGAGAACAAAUUUGUGGAAAGACUUAUCAAAAACAUCAUAGAAGAUCAACUCCUAACUUAUCAACAAGAGUGUCACCUAAUCAGCAAUCUCAAAUAAAACAUGUUUAGGGCUUACCUUUACACUCGAUUAUAGGCUUCUAAGCUCUUGUACUGUUGAGAUGAAGACCCAAAAAAAACCGAGAAAACACCAAUGGGGAUAUGGGGCUAUUUCGUGAGAAACUCAUUGAAAAAUGUUCUGAUAGGAGAAGGAAGGAGCCUAAUGGCAUCGAUCCUAGAAUUCUUAAUUCCAUCUCAACUCGAUUCGUGAUCUGACUUGGCACAUUAUCCAGAUCGACGGUUUUAUAUUGUUUUCUCCACAAAAUCGUCAGUACCUUGAUUAUGAAGAGAAGUUGUUCAUACUAUUUUCAACCAGCCAAUAGAGGAUGAACAAGGGUUAGGGGAAACACGAUCGACGAUAUGGGCUAAGGCGCGAUGUGGAGGAGCCAGGGUGGAGGGACGGAUAGGUAACGAUGACCCCAUGAGAGAAAAACGAAAUAACGAACCCUAGUGGUUUAGAUUAUGUUGGGGGUAAUGGGAAUUUGGAAACCUGAGCGGGAUGUGAGUUGAUUUUCAAUAUUCAGGAUUGACAUCUUCGAUUGUCGAUAGCAGACGUUUAGAUCGAUGGUGCAAUGGAGAACGCGAACAUUGAAGAUAAUAGAUAUUAGGUUUAAAGAGGAGGGAAUUACUAAAUCUAAAAAAUUUCACGUAGAGGGAAUCUGAAACUUUU
This 2152-nucleotide long non-coding RNA is filed under the name Lactuca sativa (garden lettuce). Its description in RNAcentral is "long non-coding RNA (LSAT_LNC000652)". Lineage: Eukaryota; Viridiplantae; Streptophyta; Magnoliopsida; Asterales; Asteraceae. The record is from RNAcentral.